Molecule: long non-coding RNA, 602 nt
Organism: Ostrinia nubilalis (European corn borer)
Lineage: Eukaryota; Metazoa; Arthropoda; Insecta; Lepidoptera; Crambidae
Exons: 3
Source: RefSeq, a predicted model, not a curated record
AAAAAAAAUAUAUUUCCGCGAAAAGUUCACAUUUUUACGUGUGUUUGUUUGUAAAGUUUUUCAAUUUAUUGUAUUUAUGAAUUAUAAAAAGAAGCAAUGAACCCGGAAGAUAUCGCUAAUUGCCAGUUUGUACCUAUCAGCUCAAUAGAAAAAGCAUUAAACUAUGUUGAAAAUGAAAAAGUUUUACGCUACAGCCUAUGUAAGAGGGACCUUUUAAAAUUGCAAACACACCACACUCAGGCUGUUAGAGCUUCUCUGAGAGAAAAGUUUUUGAAAAAUGUGUACCACAAGGCGCUGCAUCAUGCUAUUUAUACGCACGACUGGAAUAAACUUCUGUAUUUCUUGAAACGGGCACCAAUCUGGAAACAGGAUACCCGUUUGCAUGAUAUGCCACUCUAUAUCCGAAGUCUCACCAUCCUGCUAAUGUAUCACCCAAGUGCCAAAGCUCAAGACCUCCUCCGGACCUAUUUCCACAUGGUUUGCACUCGACGUUCGGAGCGUGAGAAGAAAGCGCUCAUGAAAAUUAUACUUACACUGCCCGAGACAAUUAGAGAACGAUUGGGAUUGAAUAAGUUGCUUAGAAAAGACGAUGAUGAUGAUAA